This 25-nucleotide non-coding RNA is filed under the name Mus musculus (house mouse). The record is from RNAcentral. Lineage: Eukaryota; Metazoa; Chordata; Mammalia; Rodentia; Muridae.
UGGAAAUUCCUGCCUCUGAUGACCU